AAAAAAUUAUUUACGAAUUUAUAAGUUUUUUUUUUUUAUGAGAGAAUUGUCCGUAUAUUUAUAUGAGCUUCCAACGUCCUAAUAAAUAAGCAGAAAAUUAAACAAAAUUGGUUUUUGAUUAUUAUCUUAAUAUAAUCAGAAUGUAUUUCUAAUUAGAUUUUUAAUAUAAAAGUAAUAUUAAAUUUUGUCCAAUUAGACAAUAUAAUAAUCUUCGGAUCAAAUCUGAUCAUGACUCACCCGACUACGCACGUUUAACCAAAUGCCAAUAGAUAUUUAAUUAAUUAUAAAUGUUAAAUACUUUGUAAUUCCCCCACGUAUUUACUACAACAUUUAAGGCCUAUGUUAGUAGAGCCCUUGCCAAUUGUCUCUCGAGCAAGUGGCAAAAGAUUUGAUGAUUGGUAUCCGAGAUUCAAGUUCGAAUUCUAGUUGAUUCACAUUUUCAGCUAAGUUUAUUUUUAAAUAAAAUAAACGAAGCGAUAUCGUGCUACUUAUCUCUAAAAAAAAAAUAUAAAAAAUAAAAUUAGUAGAGCCCCUAAAC
This 538-nucleotide long non-coding RNA is filed under the name Ananas comosus (pineapple). Its description in RNAcentral is "long non-coding RNA (ACOM_LNC012768)". The record is from RNAcentral. Lineage: Eukaryota; Viridiplantae; Streptophyta; Magnoliopsida; Poales; Bromeliaceae.